This 299-nucleotide signal recognition particle RNA is filed under the name Aotus nancymaae (Ma's night monkey). RNAcentral's name for it is "Metazoan signal recognition particle RNA (ENSANAG00000006570.1)". It matches the Rfam family "Metazoan signal recognition particle RNA". Rfam says of the family: The signal recognition particle (SRP) is a universally conserved ribonucleoprotein. It is involved in the co-translational targeting of proteins to membranes. The eukaryotic SRP consists of a 300-nucleotide 7S RNA and six proteins: SRPs 72, 68, 54, 19, 14, and 9. Lineage: Eukaryota; Metazoa; Chordata; Mammalia; Primates; Aotidae. The record is from RNAcentral.
GCCAGGCACGGUGGCGCGUGUCUGUAGUCCCAGCUACUCGGGAGGCUGAGAUGGGAGGAUCGCUUGAGCCCAGGAGUUCUGGGCAGUAGUGCGCUAUGCCGAUUGGGUGUCUGCACUAAGUUCAGCAUCAAUAUGGUGACCUCCCGGGAGCAGGGGACCACCAGGUUGCCUAAGGAUGGGUGAACCAGCCCAGGUCGGAAACGGAGCUGGUCAAAACUCCCAUGCUGAUCAGUACUGGGAUCGCGCCUGUGAAUAGCCACUGCACUCCAGCCUGGGCAACAUAGCGAGACCCCAUCUCU